GACGAACGCUGGCGGCGUGCUUAACACAUGCAAGUCGAACGGAAAGGCCCUGCUUGCAGGGUACUCGAGUGGCGAACGGGUGAGUAACACGUGGGUGAUCUGCCCUGCACUUCGGGAUAAGCCUGGGAAACUGGGUCUAAUGCCGGAUAGGAGCCAUUUUUAGUGUGAUGGUUGGAAAGUUUUUUCGGUGUAGGAUGAGCUCGCGGCCUAUCAGCUUGUUGGUGGGGUAAUAGCCUACCAAGGCGGCGACGGGUAGCCGGCCUGAGAGGGUGGACGGCCACAUUGGGACUGAGAUACGGCCCAGACUCCUACGGGAGGCAGCAGUGGGGAAUAUUGCACAAUGGGCGCAAGCCUGAUGCAGCGACGCCGCGUGGGGGAUGACGGCCUUCGGGUUGUAAACUCCUUUCGCUAGGGACGAAGCUUUUUGUGACGGUACCUAGAUAAGAAGCACCGGCUAACUACGUG
RNAcentral lists this ribosomal RNA (465 nucleotides) under uncultured bacterium. Its description in RNAcentral is "partial 16S ribosomal RNA". It matches the Rfam family "Bacterial small subunit ribosomal RNA", at positions 28 to 507 of the family's 1533-position model. The record is from RNAcentral.